This 404-nucleotide unclassified non-coding RNA is filed under the name soil metagenome. RNAcentral's name for it is "partial contains 5.8S ribosomal RNA, internal transcribed spacer 2, and large subunit ribosomal RNA". The stretch from base 1 to 122 matches the Rfam family "5.8S ribosomal RNA", at positions 35 to 154 of the family's 154-position model. The record is from RNAcentral.
GAUGAAGAACGUAGCAAAAUGCGAUACUUGGUGUGAAUUGCAGAAUCCCGUGAACCAUCGAGUUUUUGAACGCAGGUUGCGCCCGAAGCCUUUUGGCCGAGGGCACGUCUGCCUGGGCGUCACGCAUCGCGUCGCCCCCCACAAUUCUCCGUAAAGGGAACGUGUGUUUUGGGGGCGGAUAUUGGUCUCCCGUGCUCAUGGCGUGGUUGGCCGAAAUAGGAGUCCUUUCGAUGGACGCACGAACUAGUGGUGGUCGUAAAAACCCUCGUCUUUUGUUUCGUGCUGUUGCUCGCAAGGUAAACUCUUUAAAAACCCCAAUGUGUCGUCUCUUGACGACGCUUCGACCGCGACCCCAGGUCAGGCGGGACUACCCGCUGAGUUUAAGCAUAUCAAUAAGCGGAGGA